UGUGAACAUACCUAUACGUUGCCUCGGCGGAUCAGCCCGCGCCCCGUAAAACGGGACGGCCCGCCCGAGGACCCCUAAACUCUGUUUUUAGUGGAACUUCUGAGUAAAACAAACAAAUAAAUCAAAACUUUCAACAACGGAUCUCUUGGUUCUGGCAUCGAUGAAGAACGCAGCAAAAUGCGAUAAGUAAUGUGAAUUGCAGAAUUCAGUGAAUCAUCGAAUCUUUGAACGCACAUUGCGCCCGCCAGUAUUCUGGCGGGCAUGCCUGUUCGAGCGUCAUUUCAACCCUCAAGCUCAGCUUGGUGUUGGGACUCGCGGUAACCCGCGUUCCCCAAAUCGAUUGGCGGUCACGUCGAGCUUCCAUAGCGUAGUAAUCAUACACCUCGUUACUGGUAAUCGUCGCGGCCACGCCGUAAAACCCCAACUUCUGAAUGUUGACCUCGGAUCAGGUAGGAAUACCCGCUGAACUUAAGCAUAUCA
RNAcentral lists this ribosomal RNA (480 nucleotides) under Fusarium sp. HP(Ham)15. Its description in RNAcentral is "eukaryotic LSU rRNA". The stretch from base 126 to 279 matches the Rfam family "5.8S ribosomal RNA". Lineage: Eukaryota; Fungi; Ascomycota; Sordariomycetes; Hypocreales; Nectriaceae. The record is from RNAcentral.